GAUGAACGCUGGCGGCGUGCCUAAUACAUGCAAGUCGAGCGAACAGACGAGGAGCUUGCUCCUCUGACGUUAGCGGCGGACGGGUGGGUAACACGUGGAUAACCUACCUAUAAGACUGGGAUAACUUCGGGAAACCGGAGCUAAUACCGGAUAAUAUAUUGAACCGCAUGGUUCAAUAGUGAAAGACGGUUUUGCUGUCACUUAUAGAUGGAUCCGCGCCGCAUUAGCUAGUUGGUAAGGUAACGGCUUACCAAGGCAACGAUGCGUAGCCGACCUGAGAGGGUGAUCGGCCACACUGGAACUGAGCCACGGUCCAGACUCCUACGGGAGGCAGCAGUAGGGAAUCUUCCGCAAUGGGCGAAAGCCUGACGGAGCAACGCCGCGUGAGUGAUGAAGGUCUUCGGAUCGUAAAACUCUGUUAUUAGGGAAGAACAAAUGUGUAAGUAACUAUGCACGUCUUGACGGUACCUAAUCAGAAAGCCACGGCUAACUACGUG
RNAcentral lists this ribosomal RNA (497 nucleotides) under uncultured bacterium. RNAcentral describes it as "partial 16S ribosomal RNA". It matches the Rfam family "Bacterial small subunit ribosomal RNA", at positions 28 to 507 of the family's 1533-position model. The record is from RNAcentral.